This 447-nucleotide ribosomal RNA is filed under the name uncultured bacterium. RNAcentral describes it as "bacterial SSU rRNA". It matches the Rfam family "Bacterial small subunit ribosomal RNA", at positions 329 to 792 of the family's 1533-position model. The record is from RNAcentral.
CGCCAGACUCCUACGGGAGGCAGCAGUGGGGAAUAUUGCACAAUGGGGGAAACCCUGAUGCAGCGACGCCGCGUGAGUGAAGAAGUAUUUCGGUAUGUAAAGCUCUAUCAGCAGGGAAGAAAAUGACGGUACCUGACUAAGAAGCCCCGGCUAACUACGUGCCAGCAGCCGCGGUAAUACGUAGGGGGCAAGCGUUAUCCGGAUUUACUGGGUGUAAAGGGAGCGUAGGUGGCAUGGUAAGCCAGAAGUGAAAACCCGGGGCUCAACCCCGCGGAUUGCUUUUGGAACUAUCAGGCUGGAGUGCUGGAGGGGUAAGCGGAAUUCCUAGUGUAGCGGUGAAAUGCGUAGAUAUUAGGAGGAACACCGGUGGCGAAGGCGGCUUACUGGACAGAAACUGACACUGAGGCUCGAAAGCGUGGGGAGCAAACAGGAUUAGAUACCCGAGUA